CACCAGACGCGCUAGGGGCGGCAAAAACGCGCUAUUCGCGCGUAGUUAGAUGCUUGAACAUUUUGAGUUUACUCGCUGUAUUCGCACUUGAAAGCCGCGCGUGAAAUUCAAGGCAUUCACGCCGAAAUUCGCGUCAUGGGAGGGGUUUCUGCCAGGCCGGAGAUCCAAGCAUUCACCCACUCCUUCAAGAGCUGCCCUGACGGCCGCCUGCAGCGCUACUUCCGGCCGGCCUCAGUUAGAUGACCGUGACGGUGGGAGUAUUUCCUUCGAGGACUGCAGAGCGCCUGUCUUCGGUCUCCGAUAUCUUACCACUGGAGACUCCUCCCUUACCAUCACCACCAGCUUCUGUGUUGAUGUCUAAACAAAGUCUAAACUGUGAUUUACUAUGUUGUGCGCAAAGUAAAAUACCAAAACCUUUGGUGACUGUAUAGACCAUUUAUUUAUACAAAAUAUAUCAAUAUAUACAAAGAACCUUUACAACUAUUUACAUAGAGGAAUAAGAAAGGAUCUUGCUUGGAAGGGGGAGAGCCAAAGUGAAGGAGAGGAGAGAAAGUCUGGUUCAUUACCUGCAGAGAUUGCUGCCUCUUUUUUAAAACUGCAUUGUAGGUUCCACAUUAAGCACAACUGUGCUGCUUUAAUAAAUUAAUUUGUGAACUUUAAAUGUAACAAUUUUUUUCAUCUGAGGUAGCAACCUCUGCAGGUAAGGGACCAGACUCAAGAGGAAGAGCUCAUCCUCUGAGCGUGGAGGCGGUGCUGGAUCUACAGGACUGGUCCGGACUCCGGAGUGCUUCUAGGAGGAUGCCGCUUCACAACUGAUGGCUGCUAUCUAGGCCUUCUCUGAGCUCUUCAUCUUGGUGGCGCUGGAUCAGAUGAUAACACAAUUUGUACAAUGAGAAGGCAGAAAAGGAUUAAACUUAUUCACAAAUUGUCA
This is a non-coding RNA of Misgurnus anguillicaudatus (oriental weatherfish), 931 nucleotides long. The record is from RefSeq and is a predicted model, not a curated record. NCBI's taxonomy places the organism in Eukaryota, Metazoa, Chordata, Actinopteri, Cypriniformes, Cobitidae.